GCCUGUAAGACUGGGAUAACUCCGGGAAACCGGGGCUAAUACCGGAUGGUUGUUUGAACCGCAUGGUUCAGACAUAAAAGGUGGCUUCGGCUACCACGUACAGAUGGACCCGCGGCGCAUUAGCUAGUUGGUGAGGUAACGGCUCACCAAGGCAACGAUGCGUAGCCGACCUGAGAGGGUGAUCGGCCACACUGGGACUGAGACACGGCCCAGACUCCUACGGGAGGCAGCAGUAGGGAAUCUUCCGCAAUGGACGAAAGUCUGACGGAGCAACGCCGCGUGAGUGAUGAAGGUUUUCGGAUCGUAAAGCUCUGUUGUUAGGGAAGAACAAGUGCCGUUCAAAUAGGGCGGCACCUUGACGGUACCUAACCAGAAAGCCACGGCUAACUACGUGCCAGCAGCCGCGGUAAUACGUAGGUGGCAAGCGUUGUCCGGAAUUAUUGGGCGUAAAGGGCUCGCAGGCGGUUUCUUAAGUCUGAUGUGAAAGCCCCCGGCUCAACCGGGGAGGGUCAUUGGAAACUGGGGAACUUGAGUGCAGAAGAGGAGAGUGGAAUUCCACGUGUAGCGGUGAAAUGCGUAGAGAUGUGGAGGAACACCAGUGGCGAAGGCGACUCUCUGGUCUGUAACUGACGCUGAGGAGCGAAAGCGUGGGGAGCGAACAGGAUUAGAUACCCUGGUAGUCCACGCCGUAAACGAUGAGUGCAUAAGUGUUAGGGGGUUUCCGCCCCUUAGUGCUGCAGCUAACGCAUUAAGCACUCCGCCUGGGGAGUACGGUCGCAAGACUGAAACUCAAAGGAAUUGACGGGGGCCCGCACAAGCGGUGGAGCAUGUGGUUUAAUUCGAAGCAACGCGAAGAACCUUACCAGGUCUUGACAUCCUCUGACAAUCCUAGAGAUAGGACGUCCCCUUCGGGGGCAGAGUGACAGGUGGUGCAUGGUUGUCGUCAGCUCGUGUCGUGAGAUGUUGGGUUAAGUCCCGCAACGAGCGCAACCCUUGAUCUUAGUUGCCAGCAUUCAGUUGGGCACUCUAAGGUGACUGCCGGUGACAAACCGGAGGAAGGUGGGGAUGACGUCAAAUCAUCAUGCCCCUUAUGACCUGGGCUACACACGUGCUACAAUGGGCAGAACAAAGGGCAGCGAAACCGCGAGGUUAAGCCAAUCCCACAAAUCUGUUCUCAGUUCGGAUCGCAGUCUGCAACUCGACUGCGUGAAGCUGGAAUCGCUAGUAAUCGCAGA
This 1235-nucleotide ribosomal RNA is filed under the name Bacillus amyloliquefaciens. RNAcentral's name for it is "bacterial SSU rRNA". It matches the Rfam family "Bacterial small subunit ribosomal RNA", at positions 128 to 1348 of the family's 1533-position model. Lineage: Bacteria; Bacillati; Bacillota; Bacilli; Caryophanales; Bacillaceae. The record is from RNAcentral.